This is a long non-coding RNA of Myripristis murdjan (pinecone soldierfish), 339 nucleotides long. RefSeq lists it as uncharacterized. The record is from RefSeq and is a predicted model, not a curated record. NCBI's taxonomy places the organism in Eukaryota, Metazoa, Chordata, Actinopteri, Holocentriformes, Holocentridae. The transcript has 3 exons.
CUCUGAUUGAUUUCCUGAUCGAUCGGUGAUCGGUGUGAUCAGAGCCGAAGCCCUUCAUCGACGUCUCCAUCAUCACCCGCUUCAACGAGCACAGCCAGGUCACACAGUUCAAGUACUUCAUGGCUCUGGUGCAGGAGAUGGCAGUGAAGAUUGAUCAGGGUUUUCUUGGAGCCAUUUUGGCUGUUUUCACACCAGCCGCCGACCCGCAGGACGACAGACAGAGGACUAAGCUGAUAGAGAAGGACCUGCAGAUGCUGCAGGCGGAGCUGAUGGAGGCGUCGCUGACCGACACGUCAGGCCUGAGCUUCUUCGAGCACUUCCACAUCUCCCCCAUCAAGG